UACGUAGGGGGCAAGCGUUAUCCGGAUUUACUGGGUGUAAAGGGAGCGCAGACGGAACUGCAAGUCUGAUGUGAAAGCCCGGGGGCUCAACCCCGGAACUGCUUUGGAAACUGCGUAGCUAGAGUGCAGGAGAGGUAAGCGGAAUUCCUAGUGUAGCGGUGAAAUGCGUAGAUAUUAGGAGGAACACCAGUGGCGAAGGCGGCUUACUGGACUGUAACUGACGUUGAGGCUCGAAAGCGUGGGGAGCAAACAGGAUUAGAUACCCCUGUAGUCCCU
This 276-nucleotide ribosomal RNA is filed under the name uncultured prokaryote. RNAcentral's name for it is "partial 16S ribosomal RNA". It matches the Rfam family "Bacterial small subunit ribosomal RNA", at positions 524 to 798 of the family's 1533-position model. The record is from RNAcentral.